AGAUGGAGGCAUGCUGCUAGCUCCUGAGGCGGGAGAGCCUGCGCACCAGGAUCCGGAGGCCAACCAAGCUGGAACACUCCCUGAUACCCUGAUGGAGGACGUCACAGGAGAACAGACCGGAGGACCCCCCGCAGCAGAGAACCUGGCAUUUAUGGUGGAGAUUGGCUUGAACCAAAAUCCUGGAACCACACUCUGAGGGAUGUGAAAUCUGAAUCAAGAACUGAAUGUAGGGAUUAUCUGCGCACCUCGGGUACCUUUAAUGGACCUGUACCUGGGUGGUAGAGGAGGACCAUCCCGACACUAAAGCAGGGGAAUGGAUGCACCGUGGAAGAUGAAGUGACCGAUCAUUGCCAAUU
Trachemys scripta elegans is the source of this 356-nucleotide long non-coding RNA. RefSeq lists it as uncharacterized. Lineage: Eukaryota; Metazoa; Chordata; Testudines; Emydidae. The transcript has 3 exons. The record is from RefSeq and is a predicted model, not a curated record.